UUUUAUUUCUUACUGAGUUUUAUUUUUUAUAAUCAUUUGACAGUAAUGUUUUGUAUGUCAUGUGCAAAUGUGUAAUACUUGUAUCACACAAACUUUGUUGUUUUUUUUACUAUGUAGCUGUCUUCAAUAAUCCUACCUACAGAAUACAGCCAAUUUGUAAAAGAGCAACAGAAAAUACAGAGAAUAGAAAUGAAAAGUAUUCAAACUAUGGUCUUUAAAAGACUCAGGACAAGUUGAAGCUGUUGUUGGCCCUUACAAACUAUAUGACACAUCUUUCAGAACACUUUGUGCACAUGGCUGGCUGGCAGAUGAAGUCAUUGAUGCAUAUCUCUAUGUCAUCCUUCAAAAUAGCAAGAUACCUGUGCACAGAAUGGAUGCAGUUAUUGGAUCAUCCAUCUUUCAUCAUGGCCAGUACAUGGCUGUUCGAAGGAUGGCAUUACCCAAGGCUUCCAUUUGGAUGUGUCCUGUAAAUGUGGGAGGUCACUGGAUUAUAGUGGUAUGUCAUGUCAACCGCUUCAGCCAUUUACCUAUAUAAAGAGCCUCAAAUCUGUAAUUUUAUGUGUGCGUUCAUGUGUGUAUGAGAGGAAUAGAAAUUGUUUAUUGUCCCACUGAGGGGAUAUAUUAUACAUGUAGGUGUGCAAACAAAUAUUUUUGUGUAA
This is a long non-coding RNA of Austrofundulus limnaeus, 659 nucleotides long. RefSeq lists it as uncharacterized. Lineage: Eukaryota; Metazoa; Chordata; Actinopteri; Cyprinodontiformes; Rivulidae. The record is from RefSeq and is a predicted model, not a curated record. The transcript is spliced from 5 exons.